UAAUGGGGCCAGGACGAUAGUCGACGUCUGAGUUGUCGGUCGGUCAGCGGUCUCCCUCCCUGGUUCAUUCGGGAAACCCUCACCGCCACCCUACCGGGGAGAAAAAACGAAACUUAUCGAGCUGAGCCUGGUGAUUGCGGCGGCGACCAUGGUUGGCCGUCGGCAACUGGCGGAUGGACGCUGCCGGUGUGGAGUUUCUGCAUGAUGCGGCCGACAGCGAACGGGGCUGGGAAUGUGAAGGCUGGUGAUUCAAAAGUUGGGUCUGGUAUGGCUCAGAAGAUUGGCGAAGAUGGCACUGCUCGAGCGCGAGAAGGUGCGCGGCGUCGAUGAGAUGCUUCUCCGACGAGGUCUGCUCAGUCUGCAGACAGAGUGAAUCCAGAGGCCCCUAGCUGGAAUAAGAGGCCUUGACUGGGCAGUGCGCCACUGGACCGGACGCCAUGCCCUUCCCCAAUGAGCGCUCUCGAGUAGUCAAUUCGCAAGUAUGCAGAGCAACCUGACAAGAGUGUGAUACAGCCUAAGCUAGGUCUCAGCUUUGAUUCAUUGGGAGGCGUAUGAUUUCUAUAAUCUGUAUUCUUAGGAGAUCGAUUUUGGAAUAAGGUAUGGUAAAGCAGACUAAAUGCUCACAGGACAAAAAGCAUGCAGAAAAUCGUUUGUAGUUGCUCGGGAAAAUUUUAAGCAGAAAACAGUAGGUCGUGCAGAUGCGAGUGCCCAGCUCUGAUCAGGCUUCUGCGUGCAUCGGACAACAGUUGGUACAUGACGUGAAGGCCACAACCAUUCCGUGUCGCUGAUCAUGGGAGAGAAAGUGCACUGGCCGUCUCAUAAACACAUCAAUGUUUACACAAAGGAUUUGAUAAGGCAGCUGAGGGAAAACAAUGUGAACCUGGGGAAGGUGUACAGCAUAAUUGGUAGUAGCUUCUUUGGAUCUGUUGAGAAGGUACCGUUCACAAAAAGAACUCUCAGGAAUAUAUGUGGGAAGUUUAGCCGUGAACAAGCCGAGGAUGAUGUGCUGAAGACGCUUGAGGUGUUUGCUGACAUCCAUUCCAGCAACCCUAGUUUCACCUAUGUGCUACUGGCCGGCAAGUCGAGCAAGGUGAAAAAUCUUAUGUGGGCUAACGGAAGCAGCCGAAUGCAGUACAUGUUCUUUGGCGAUGUGAUCAAAUUUGACACUACAUACAGGAGAAACUUGUAUGACAUGCCAUUUGGGUCAUUUGUGGGAGUUAACAAUCACUAUCAAAGCAUUAUCCUAGCAGGGGUGUUGAUGUGUGAUGAGCAAGAAGAGAGCUUCGAAUGGGUGUUUGCAUAAUUUUUGCGAAUGAUGGGCGGGCCUGCCCCAAAAACAAUACUCACAGACCAAUGUAAGGCAAUGGAGGUGGCGAUCAGCAAGGUUUAUCCUGGCACUGUCCACCGGUGGUGCAAGUGGAAUGUCCUGAAGAAGGCGAAGGAAAUCUUUGGUCUGCUUUACACAAAGAAGAGUAAUUUUCAGGCUGAAUUUCACAAGGUUGUGAACCACAUGUUAACUGAGGAAGAAUUUGAAGCAGCUUGGGGGUUGUUGUUGGAUACAAUCUGAGGAAUCACACAUACAUGACCCAAAUAUAUGAAACCAGGAAAAAAUGGGCAAAACCAUACUUUAAAGGUGUGUUUUGUGUGAAAAUGACAAGCACUCAACAUAGUGAGAGCGCAAACCACAUGCUGAAGACGUACAUGCCCCCUGCAAGCCCAAUGCUUGUUUUUGGGGAGUACAUGAGGUUAAAGUUUGACUGUGAGCGUGAUGAGAGCUACAAGGAGAAGAGGACCAUGAUUGCAAGUUCUUUAUUUCCUUUUUAAAUUCCUGCUGAUAACAUUUAUGAGUGCUUCGUUUAUGUCCUUCACAUAGGAAUAUUCCAAGUUGGCUGAUGCACAGAUAUGGCAUGGUGGUGCCCUGAGGCGGACUAACCUUACAAUAGAGCGGCAAGAGAUAAGUGGAGCAGGGUUGAGUACGAGGUGACCAUAAACAAAGACAAAUCAAUAUUCACUUGUCUGAUCACACUGGAUGCUAUGCAGCCAUAUCUUGAGGGUGAUGGAAAUUCUUCAUCAGGAGGAGAUCCCUAAGCACCAUAUCCUAAAGCGAUGGACGAGAGACGCAAGGGAUAUACUUCCACGACACCUGGUUCAGUACCAGAAGGACAAUUCAGUGAACUUAUCGUUCACGUGCAGGUCUCGAGGCUCUGCUACUGAAUGGAGCACCACUGGCAGAAAAGAGGGAUGGUCUGACUUUUGAGGAUCGCUCGUGGAAGGCGACGCUGACCAGUGCCAUAGUGCUGGGACAUUCUGUUAGUGUGAAUGCCCUGCAAGGUCUUGCAGGCCCGGACAAGCAUAGAGGUGCCGGAAGGCCGACAAACAACAGGGAGAAGGCCCCAUACAAAGGUCUAAGUAAACGAAACCAAAUUUUGCAGCAUUUGUCGUCGCGAAGGCCACAAAAGGACCACGUGCCCGGAGAGAGGGGAUGCAUCGAAAAAGCCACGAAAACCCAGGAAAUGCAAGAAUUGAGGGAUAGAAGGACAUCGACGAAAUACCUGCAAGCGGCCACUUGGUUUUGCCGAUAACUGAGCCAUAUGUUUUUCAGUCUGUAAUAUGUGUUGUCGUUCUAAACGGGGGGUUUUCUAGUGUGUUUCAGUUGAGCACUCAAACUCAAAGAGCAUGAAUUAUGUUUAUAGGGCCGUGUGUCAUGCUGUGUCUAAGAGCAUGAAUUAUGUUUAUGGUUGUCUGAACUUCGAUGAAUUAAUGGUCUUGCUUGUUGUUUCGCUGCAUCUCUCAGUUAAAUAAAUUACAAGCUUUGAGCACGCUGCAGAGGGGUCAUCCUUCUGCAGUAAGCACCCUGGAA
Long non-coding RNA from Triticum aestivum (bread wheat), 2860 nucleotides. RefSeq lists it as uncharacterized. The record is from RefSeq and is a predicted model, not a curated record. Lineage: Eukaryota; Viridiplantae; Streptophyta; Magnoliopsida; Poales; Poaceae. The transcript is spliced from 7 exons.